UGAACGCUGGCGGUAUGCCUAACACAUGCAAGUCGUACGAGAGUUUUUAACUCUAGUGGCGGACGGGUGAGUAACACGUGAGAAUUUGCCUUUAGGAGGGGGAUAACAAUUGGAAACGAAUGCUAAUACCCCAUAUGCUUUCGAGUGAAAUGGAUUUAUAUUUAUCCGCCUAGAGAGAAGCUCGCGGCUGAUUAGCUUGUUGGUAAGGUAAGAGCUUACCAAGGCGACGAUCAGUAUCUGGUUUGAGAGGACGAUCAGACACACUGGAACUGAGACACGGUCCAGACUCCUACGGGAGGCAGCAGUGGGGAAUUUUCCGCAAUGGGCGAAAGCCUGACGGAGCAAUACCGCGUGAGGGAAGACUGCCUAUGGGUUGUAAACCUCUUUUUUCAGGGAGGAAUAAAAUGACGUGUACCUGAAGAAUAAGCAUCGGCUAACUCC
Molecule: ribosomal RNA, 441 nt
Filed under: uncultured bacterium
Lineage: Bacteria
Description: bacterial SSU rRNA
Rfam family: Bacterial small subunit ribosomal RNA
Source: RNAcentral